GACGUAGGGCGCAAGCGUUGUCCGGAUUUAUUGGGCGUAAAGAGCUCGUAGGCGGCUUGUCGCGUCGACUGUGAAAACCCGCAGCUUAACUGCGGGACUGCAGUCGAUACGGGCAGGCUAGAGUUCGGUAGGGGAGACUGGAAUUCCUGGUGUAACGGUGAAAUGCGCAGAUAUCAGGAGGAACACCGGUGGCGAAGGCGGGUCUCUGGGCCGAUACUGACGCUGAGGAGCGAAAGCGUGGGGAGCGAACAGG
RNAcentral lists this ribosomal RNA (253 nucleotides) under uncultured bacterium. RNAcentral describes it as "partial 16S ribosomal RNA". It matches the Rfam family "Bacterial small subunit ribosomal RNA", at positions 524 to 776 of the family's 1533-position model. The record is from RNAcentral.